Molecule: ribosomal RNA, 430 nt
Filed under: uncultured bacterium
Lineage: Bacteria
Description: partial 16S ribosomal RNA
Rfam family: Bacterial small subunit ribosomal RNA
Source: RNAcentral
GUGGGGAAUAUUGCACAAUGGGCGCAAGCCUGAUGCAGCAACGCCGCGUGAGGGACGACGGCCUUCGGGUUGUAAACCUCUUUUAGUAGGGAAGAAGCGAAAGUGACGGUACCUGCAGAAAAAGCACCGGCUAACUACGUGCCAGCAGCCGCGGUAAUACGUAGGGUGCAAGCGUUAUCCGGAAUUAUUGGGCGUAAAGAGCUCGUAGGCGGUUUGUCACGUCUGCUGUGAAAACUGGAGGCUCAACCUCCAGCCUGCAGUGGGUACGGGCAGACUAGAGUGCGGUAGGGGAGAUUGGAAUUCCUGGUGUAGCGGUGGAAUGCGCAGAUAUCAGGAGGAACACCGAUGGCGAAGGCAGAUCUCUGGGCCGUAACUGACGCUGAGGAGCGAAAGCAUGGGGAGCGAACAGGAUUAGAUACCCUAGUAGUCC